AAACGACUCUCGGCAACGGAUAUCCCGGCUCUCGCAUCGAUGAAGAACGUAGCGAAAUGCGAUACUUGGUGUGAAUUGCAGGAUCCCGUGAACCAUCGAGUUUUUGAACGCAAGUUGCGCCCGAUGCCAUUAGGCUGAGGGCACGUCUGCCUGGGUGUCACGU
RNAcentral lists this ribosomal RNA (163 nucleotides) under Bupleurum sikangense. Its description in RNAcentral is "5.8S ribosomal RNA". It matches the Rfam family "5.8S ribosomal RNA". From Rfam's summary of the family: 5.8S ribosomal RNA (5.8S rRNA) is a component of the large subunit of the eukaryotic ribosome. It is transcribed by RNA polymerase I as part of the 45S precursor that also contains 18S and 28S rRNA. Functionally, it is thought that 5.8S rRNA may be involved in ribosome translocation. Lineage: Eukaryota; Viridiplantae; Streptophyta; Magnoliopsida; Apiales; Apiaceae. The record is from RNAcentral.